UUGUGAGUUCCUAAAGCCUGAGAGGAGCACAAAGCCUCUAAAAUACUAAAAGCAGAAAGAGGCAAUUCUCUCCAGAAAUCAAAGCCACUCUUCUUUAAUACCUAGCGAAAAACAACUAUAUGCUCUUUAUCCAACAUACACAGCUAGACUCCCAGAGAAAAGUAGGCUCCACACCCAGCAUGGAACCCAACCCAGGACUUCAAUUCACAACGCUGACAUCAAGAUCUGAGCUGAGAUCAAGAGUUGUCUGUGUAACCAACUGAGACAUCCAGGUGUCCCUGCUGUUGUUGUUUUUAAGACAUGCCAGACAGUCUUAAAGAAUGGUUUCAAGCUUCUUGAGUGAUCAUCUCAGAGAAAGGAUAUGAUAAGCUUUGAAAAAGCUGGCAUGUUGUGAAGAGGGCCACAUGGCAAGGAACUGAGGACGGUCUCCAGCCAAAAGAGUAAGAAACUAAGACCUUCAGUCUAACAACUUGCGAAAACUGACUGCUGCCAAUAACCACGUGAGCUGGAAGUGGAUCGUUCCUCAAUCAAACCUCAGAUGAGAAAAUAGCCCUGACCAACAACUUCGACUUACAGACUUGCACAAGACCUGGUAAACCCAUGCCGGAUUCCCAACCUCCAGAUAUUGUCAGGUAAUAAAUGUGUGU
Molecule: long non-coding RNA, 647 nt
Organism: Mustela erminea (ermine)
Lineage: Eukaryota; Metazoa; Chordata; Mammalia; Carnivora; Mustelidae
Exons: 3
Source: RefSeq, a predicted model, not a curated record